UUCCUUUCCGACAAUUUUUUUGAAACAGCAUCAAUUAUCGCACUCGUGGCAUCUUUUCUUCACCAUCUUCUUCUUCUUCAGUGUGUUUUUUCUGCUUUUUUUACCCAAAAACAAAAACCCUAAAUUGAAAAAGGGAUCCAAUUUCAUGUUUUCCAUCGCAAUUUUCUAAAAUGAAACUUAAAUUGAAAUCGUGGGUUCCAUAAGUAUGGGUUAUGGGGGUUGUUCACCAUCCUUAGAGAAAACGAAGAGUUCUCAAAGUUUUGAUUUGUAAGUUUACACUAGUUCGAAUCUGCAGAAACCUUAUUGUCAUUAUGGAGACAUUGUUAUUCUUCGUAGGGCAAGAACAGAUAGCAACUAUGAAAAUCUUUUUUGGGGUUGUCCAUAUUUUAAGGUAACAUGUAAUGGUAAAUCUUGUUCCUGUAAAAGUUCUGGAAUAAAUUAUUGUAAAUCGUCUACUUAUGACAUUGUUUGUUAGUUUCUUAAUCUAUUUAGGGAUUUAUUCAGAUUGCAUGUGACUUCUUUGUUUGGUUAUAUGAAUAAGUUGGAGAUGAAAAUGAACAAUUCAAGAUGAAGCAAAAAAGUAGGUUGAAAAAGUUAACAAAAGAAAACGAGGAAUAAAAAACAGAGGUUAAAAAAUUAAGGCUCACAACUGCUGAACUAGAAAUUGCUAUGAAGAACAUGAUGAAGUGGAAAAAGUUUUAAAAGAUUGUGUUUUAUCUUAUUUUCAUUGUAUUAAUAGUCAUGGUGUUUUUAUUUCAUUAUGUUAGCAAUUCAUGAUGUACUAAAAUUGAAUGAUCGGACAAGUUGAAUUACAAGAGUUGGUUUAGUUGAAUUAUGUGUCAUGUUUAAGUUGAAUGCAUCAGUGGAAUUAUGUAACAUUGGAAUACGUACCAAUUGAAUUUCAAUGUAACAAUUUUAUUUGAAUGCGGCAAUGGUAUUAUGUACCAGUUAAAUUUCAAUGAAUUAUGUAUCAUUUUU
This 978-nucleotide long non-coding RNA is filed under the name Lathyrus oleraceus (garden pea). Its description in RNAcentral is "Pisum sativum (pea) long non-coding RNA (PSAT_LNC019456)". Lineage: Eukaryota; Viridiplantae; Streptophyta; Magnoliopsida; Fabales; Fabaceae. The record is from RNAcentral.